Molecule: ribosomal RNA, 392 nt
Filed under: Heosemys depressa
Lineage: Eukaryota; Metazoa; Chordata; Testudines; Geoemydidae
Description: partial 12S ribosomal RNA
Rfam family: Bacterial small subunit ribosomal RNA
Source: RNAcentral
GCUUAACCCUAAACUUAGAUAUUUAAUAAACAAAAAUAUCCGCCAGAGAACUACGAGCAAAACGCUUAAAACUCUAAGGACUUGGCGGUACCUCAAACCCCCCUAGAGGAGCCUGUUCUAUAAUCGAUAAUCCACGAUUCACCCCACCAUCUCUUGCCAAUACCGCCUAUAUACCACCGUCACCAGCUUACCCUAUGAGGGCACAAAAGUAGGCAAAACAACCAAACAGUUAACAAGUCAGGUCAAGGUGUAGCUAACUGAGAUGGGAGAAAUGGGCUACAUUUUCUACACUAGAAAUAAUUUACGGAAAGGAACUAUGAAAUAAGUCCUAUAAGCAGGAUUUAGCAGUAAACCUGGAUCAAAAUGCCUAAUUUAAACCGGUCCUGAGGUGC